UACGAAGGGGGCUAGCGUUGCUCGGAAUCACUGGGCGUAAAGCGCACGUAGGCGGAUUGUUAAGUCAGGGGUGAAAUCCUGGAGCUCAACUCCAGAACUGCCUUUGAUACUGGCGAUCUCGAGUCCGGGAGAGGUGAGUGGAACUGCGAGUGUAGAGGUGAAAUUCGUAGAUAUUGGGAAGAACACCGGUGGCGAAGGCGGCGCUCUGGACCGAGACUGACGCUGAGGCGCGAAAGCUAGGGGAGCGAACGGG
Molecule: ribosomal RNA, 253 nt
Filed under: uncultured bacterium
Lineage: Bacteria
Description: partial 16S ribosomal RNA
Rfam family: Bacterial small subunit ribosomal RNA
Source: RNAcentral